Molecule: long non-coding RNA, 498 nt
Filed under: Brassica napus (rape)
Lineage: Eukaryota; Viridiplantae; Streptophyta; Magnoliopsida; Brassicales; Brassicaceae
Description: long non-coding RNA (BNAP_LNC024915)
Source: RNAcentral
GAGAAAGUUAAGGACGAUCAGUAAUGACCUAACCAUAAACUACCAGGGUCUAAUCAUCAGUUACUACACUCAUAGCAACCAAAAAAGCAAUCAAGUAACAAAAUUAUAUAGCCAAAUUAUAUACUACACACAUUGCGGUUAGAAACAAAGAAGAUCCAAUCAUAUAGCCACAAACAAACAGACCAAACAAACUAAAACACCAAACCAAUUUUAAAGCGCGAACCAUAGUAACGAAACCUUUAACCAUCUCACAAAACUAGAAAUCCUCAUUAAAUUCCUCCUAACAGUUCACUCAACUACAAAGCAUUCAAGUUCCCUUACAGCAUUCAAGUAAUAACUCUUCACACAACUACAAAGCUAUACCCAAAUAACACUUCACACAACUACAGCUAUGUAAGCAGUAACAAGAACAGAAACAUUCAUUUCCUACUGGCAACUACAGAAACUUCACUCAUCCUAUACGAAGGCAACUACAAUUUUAUCAAACCUAUCUACCUA